RNAcentral lists this ribosomal RNA (440 nucleotides) under uncultured bacterium. RNAcentral describes it as "partial 16S ribosomal RNA". It matches the Rfam family "Bacterial small subunit ribosomal RNA", at positions 338 to 795 of the family's 1533-position model. The record is from RNAcentral.
CCUACGGGCGGCAGCAGUAGGGAAUAUUGCUCAAUGGGGGAAACCCUGAAGCAGCAACGCCGCGUGGAGGAUGAAGGUUUUAGGAUUGUAAACUCCUUUUGUUAGGGAAGAUUAUGACGGUAUCUAACGAAUAAGCCCCGGCUAACUCCGUGCCAGCAGCCGCGGUAAUACGGAGGGUGCAAGCGUUACUCGGAAUCACUGGGCGUAAAGAGUGUGUAGGCGGGGUAAUAAGUCAGAUGUGAAAUCCUGUAGCUUAACUACAGAACUGCAGUUGAAACUGUUACUCUUGAGUGUGUGUGAGGUAGGUGGAAUUCUUGGUGUAGGGGUAAAAUGCGUAGAGAUCAAGAGGAAUACUGAUUGCGAAGGCGACCUGCUGGAACAUUACUGACGCUGAUGCACGAAAGCGUGGGGAGCAAACAGGAUUAGAUACCCUUGUAGUC